CGCGUAGGCGGGCCAUCAAGUCUGUGGUGAAAUCCCCCGGCUCAACCGGGGAAGUGCCGCGGAUACUGGUGGUCUCGAGGGGUGCAGGGGCAUGCGGAACUUCCGGUGGAGCGGUGAAAUGCGUAGAUAUCGGAAGGAACGCCGGUGGCGAAAGCGGCGUGCUGGACACCUACUGACGCUGAGGCGCGAAAGCCAGGGGAGCAAACGGGAUUAGAUACCCCGGUAGUCCUGGCCCUAAACGAUGGGUACUAGGCCGUGGGCUUGACAUGGGCUCACAGCCGAAGCCAAAGUGCUAAGUACCCCGCCUGGGGAGUAUGGUCGCAAGGCUGAA
Molecule: ribosomal RNA, 331 nt
Filed under: uncultured bacterium
Lineage: Bacteria
Description: bacterial SSU rRNA
Rfam family: Bacterial small subunit ribosomal RNA
Source: RNAcentral